UGGGGAAUAUUGCACAAUGGGGGAAACCCUGAUGCAGCCAUGCCGCGUGUGUGAAGAAGGCCUUCGGGUUGUAAAGCACUUUCAGCGAGGAGGAAAGGAUGAUGCCUAAUACGUAUCAACUGUGACGUUACUCGCAGAAGAAGCACCGGCUAACUCCGUGCCAGCAGCCGCGGCAAUACGGAGGGUGCAAGCGUUAAUCGGCAUUACUGGGCGUAAAGCGCACGCAGGCGGUUGGAUAAGUUAGAUGUGAAAGCCCCGGGCUCAACCUGGGAAUUGCAUUUAAAACUGUCCAGCUAGAGUCUUGUAGAGGGGGGUAGAAUUCCAGGUGUAGCGGUGAAAUGCGUAGAGAUCUGGAGGAAUACCGGUGGCGAAGGCGGCCCCCUGGACAAAGACUGACGCUCAGGUGCGAAAGCGUGGGGAGCAAACA
Molecule: ribosomal RNA, 427 nt
Filed under: uncultured bacterium
Lineage: Bacteria
Description: partial 16S ribosomal RNA
Rfam family: Bacterial small subunit ribosomal RNA
Source: RNAcentral